RNAcentral lists this ribosomal RNA (502 nucleotides) under uncultured bacterium. RNAcentral's name for it is "bacterial SSU rRNA". It matches the Rfam family "Bacterial small subunit ribosomal RNA", at positions 535 to 1038 of the family's 1533-position model. The record is from RNAcentral.
GACACGGUGCUCGGAUCACUGGGCGUAAGGGCUAGUAGGCGGCUGGGUAAGUCCGGUGUGAAAUCCCUCGGCUCAACCGAGGAAUUGCAUCGGAAACUACCCAGCUAGAGUACGGGAGAGGUGAGCGGAAUUCCCAGUGUAGCGGUGAAAUGCGUAGAUAUUGGGAGGAACACCAGAAGCGAAGGCGGCUCACUGGACCGGUACUGACGCUCAGAAGCGAAAGCUAGGGGAGCGAAAGGGAUUAGAUACCCCAGUAGUCCUAGCUGUAAACGUUGGGCACUUGGUGUAGGCGGUACCGACCCCGCCUGUGCCGGAGCUAACGCAUUAAGUGCCCCGCCUGGGGAGUACGGUCGCAAGGCUGAAGCUCAAAGGAAUUGACGGGGGCCCGCACAAGCGGUGGAGCAUGUGGUUUAAUUCGAUGCAACGCGAAGAACCUUACCCGGGCUUGAACUCCAGGUGACUACCGUGGAAACACGGGUUCCCGCAAGGGCGCUUGGAGAGG